Molecule: transfer RNA, 73 nt
Filed under: Acanthaster planci (crown-of-thorns starfish)
Lineage: Eukaryota; Metazoa; Echinodermata; Asteroidea; Valvatida; Acanthasteridae
Description: tRNA-Tyr
Rfam family: tRNA
About the family: Transfer RNA (tRNA) molecules are approximately 80 nucleotides in length. Their secondary structure includes four short double-helical elements and three loops (D, anti-codon, and T loops). Further hydrogen bonds mediate the characteristic L-shaped molecular structure. tRNAs have two regions of fundamental functional importance: the anti-codon, which is responsible for specific mRNA codon recognition, and the 3' end, to which the tRNAs corresponding amino acid is attached (by aminoacyl-tRNA synthetases). tRNAs cope with the degeneracy of the genetic code in two manners: having more than one tRNA (with a specific anti-codon) for a particular amino acid; and 'wobble' base-pairing, i.e. permitting non-standard base-pairing at the 3rd anti-codon position.
Source: RNAcentral
CCUUCGGUAGCUCAGUUGGAAGAGCGGUGGACUGUAGAUCCAUAGGUCGCUGGUUCGAAUCCGGCCCGAAGGA